AGCAGCCGCGGUAAUUCCAGCUCCAAUAGCGUAUAUUAAAGUUGUUGCAGUUAAAAAGCUCGUAGUUGAAUUUCGGGGUCAGUAGGUCGGUCGUGCCACUGGUAUGCACUGGUCUCACUGAUUCCUCCUUCUUGUAGAACCGUAAUGCCAUUAAGUUGGUGUUGCGGGGAAACAGGACUGUUACUUUGAAAAAAUUAGAGUGUUUAAAGCAAGCUAACGCUUGAAUACAUUAGCAUGGAAUAAUGAAAUAGGACGAACGAUCCUAUUUUGUUGGUUUU
This 278-nucleotide ribosomal RNA is filed under the name Glomeromycota sp. Its description in RNAcentral is "partial small subunit ribosomal RNA". It matches the Rfam family "Eukaryotic small subunit ribosomal RNA", at positions 569 to 852 of the family's 1831-position model. Lineage: Eukaryota; Fungi; Glomeromycota. The record is from RNAcentral.